Molecule: ribosomal RNA, 208 nt
Filed under: Erimerus luteus
Lineage: Eukaryota; Metazoa; Arthropoda; Insecta; Hymenoptera; Torymidae
Description: partial 28S ribosomal RNA
Rfam family: Eukaryotic large subunit ribosomal RNA
Source: RNAcentral
UUUCCCUCAGGAUAGCUGGCACUCGCUUGAGCGAGUCUCAUCUGGUAAAGCGAAUGAUUAGAGGCCUUGGGGCCGAAACGACCUCAACCUAUUCUCAAACUUUAAAUGGGUGAGAUCUCUGGCUUGCUUGAACGUUGAAGCCACGAGAAUUUCAUGGAUCAGAGUGCCAAGUGGGCCAAUUUUGGUAAGCAGAACUGGCGCUGUGGGA